UUCCGGUCCCCUCGCAAUGAACAGCUGUGAACCCCGCCAGGCCCGGAAGGGAGCAACGGUAGCAGUGGUGUCAUGUGCCGAGGGUGUUGCUGGUUGGG
Molecule: non-coding RNA, 98 nt
Organism: Microbulbifer donghaiensis
Lineage: Bacteria; Pseudomonadati; Pseudomonadota; Gammaproteobacteria; Cellvibrionales; Microbulbiferaceae
Source: Rfam